Acanthosepion pharaonis is the source of this 106-nucleotide non-coding RNA. NCBI's taxonomy places the organism in Eukaryota, Metazoa, Mollusca, Cephalopoda, Sepiida, Sepiidae. The record is from the annotation of a GenBank genome assembly.
UUACGGCCAUAUCACAUUGAAACACGGGUUCUCGUACGAUCAGCGAAGUUAAGCAAAGUCAAGCCUGGUCAGUAUCUCGAUGGGUAAUAACUUGGUAAUAUCAGGU